CGCGUAGGCGGCCUGCUAAGUCGGACGUGAAAUCCCUCGGCUCAACCGAGGAACUGCGUCCGAUACUGGUGGGCUUGAAUCCGGGAGAGGGAUGUGGAAUUCCAGGUGUAGCGGUGAAAUGCGUAGAUAUCUGGAGGAACACCGGUGGCGAAGGCGGCAUCCUGGACCGGUAUUGACGCUGAGGCGCGAAAGCUAGGGUAGCAAACG
Molecule: ribosomal RNA, 207 nt
Filed under: uncultured bacterium
Lineage: Bacteria
Description: partial 16S ribosomal RNA
Rfam family: Bacterial small subunit ribosomal RNA
Source: RNAcentral